Molecule: long non-coding RNA, 1357 nt
Filed under: Mus pahari (shrew mouse)
Lineage: Eukaryota; Metazoa; Chordata; Mammalia; Rodentia; Muridae
Description: predicted gene, 27045 (MGP_PahariEiJ_G0003063.1)
Source: RNAcentral
CCCUCUCAUCGCCUGGGUGGACAUGGAGACCAGCCCGAGGACACUUACCAUUUUCUGUGGAUGGGUCUGUGCACACGUGGGGCAACCCGGUCCCGAUCCCCUGUAAAGAGACAGAGGAAGGUAGGACCAGACCAAAGAGGUCCCCAUGGGCUAAAUUCCUUCUUUGGGUCCCAGAUACCACCAGGGAUCGCCAAAGCCGUGUGUUAUCAAGUAGAGUAACAGCUUGGUGAACCACGACUUCACAGCCUGUUAGAUACAUUCACUCUGUGCGUCCCAGAUACCAUCAGACCUACAUACACACCUACAUACACACCUCUUCUCAAAGCCAUUUGUUAUCAAAUACGGUGACAGCUUGGAGAACUUCAACUUCUGCGUGUGCGCCCGUCAGACGUGCAUGAAUUGUAACUUAAAAGAAAUGUUGCCAUCCAGGGCUUUGGUCAGACCAGACUUAGCGUUUGGGACCCGUGAGAUGGCUUAGGAGAGUGCUCCUGCUGCCAAGCCUGGCGACCUGAGUUUGAUUCCAGGACGCACAUGGUGGAAGGCGAGAACUCCCUCACAUCUCACCUGCCUGUUCCGAAACAGCCCAUAGCAUGGGAGAAAAUCCAGCCAUACUUCAGGCCAGGGUUAAAAUUCAGAAUUUACAUAGAACUGCAAAAGUUAAAUACCGAGGGGACAAAGCUGCCAGUCAACAGGCUGGGCUGGUGAAGGGAACAGACUUUGGCUCCAUCCUGGGGCUGCGCUUAGCAGAAGAUGGGGGAUGUGGACACCUGCCCCUGCCUCCGCGCUGCCAUGGCAACCACUCCAGAGCACAUCCCUAAAACCACCUGUGACUCUGGGGCCCGCCCCUUGGCCGACCUUCUCUGUCCCUCCCUGUGACUACUUUGGAUUCCUGUCUUGGGGGUCUGCCCCUAGAGGAUCGCAAUGGAGGCAAGUUCUUCCCAGCUGACAGUCAACACCCACCAAGGGGAUCCUCCCCUUCCCCCACAGUCCCUCGGCCUCGUGCCAUGGACCGACAGUCCACAGCUGGCAACAGCUCAGAGACCUGGUGGGCUGGGGCGGGCACUGGGAUGCAGUGGUGUGCUGGGCCCCUGCUAGGAAACAACUCAACAAAAAGAAAAACCCGUGGAUGCAGAGAAAGAAGACUGGCCGCCAUAGCCAAGCUAGAAAGCGCAACAAAGCCGGCAACUGAGGUGUGGAAGCUGCAGGAAAGAGGGCUCCCAGCUGCUCAGGAGGCUGAGCACGCAGACCAUGUGAGAACAUGAGGGUUGUCAAGACGUCCAGGCCAGUCUAGACUAAGGAGUAACUCUGACUCAAAACACAAAAAUAAAAUAAAAUGAAAUAAAAAUAAAAUGAAAUG